RNAcentral lists this ribosomal RNA (325 nucleotides) under uncultured eukaryote. RNAcentral describes it as "partial 18S ribosomal RNA". It matches the Rfam family "Eukaryotic small subunit ribosomal RNA", at positions 1470 to 1796 of the family's 1831-position model. The record is from RNAcentral.
CCCUUAGAUGUUCUGGGCUGCACGCGCGCUACACUGAUGCGCUCAACGAGUUUACGACCUUGCCCGGAAGGGUUGGGUAAUCUUUUUAAAACGCAUCGUGAUGGGGAUAGAUUAUUGCAAUUAUUAAUCUUUAACGAGGAAUUCCUAGUAAGCGCGAGUCAUCAGCUCGUGCUGAUUACGUCCCUGCCCUUUGUACACACCGCCCGUCGCACCUACCGAUUGAAUGUUUCGGUGAAGAUUCCGGAUAGGACUUUUUUGAUUUAUUUCAAUUUUGUCUUAAAAGCUAUCUAAACCUCAACAUUUAGAGGAAGGUGAAGUCGUAACA